Molecule: ribosomal RNA, 603 nt
Filed under: beta proteobacterium HPC44
Lineage: Bacteria; Pseudomonadati; Pseudomonadota; Betaproteobacteria
Description: bacterial SSU rRNA
Rfam family: Bacterial small subunit ribosomal RNA
Source: RNAcentral
AAUGCCUUACACAUGCAAGUCGUACCNNGGNACCCAUAUCGGUCUGGUGGCGAGUGGCGAACGGGUGAGUAAUGUAUCGGAACGUGCCCAGUAGCGGGGGAUAACUACGCGAAAGCGUAGCUAAUACCGCAUACGCCCUACGGGGGAAAGCAGGGGAUCGCAAGACCUUGCACUAUUGGAGCGGCCGAUAUCGGAUUACCUAGUUGGUGGGGUAACGGCUCACCAAGGCGACGAUCCGUAGCUGGUUUGAGAGGACGACCAGCCACACUGGGACUGAGACACGGCCCAUACUCCUACGGGAGGCAGCAGUGGGGAAUUUUGGACAAUGGGGGAAACCCUGAUCCAGCCAUCCCGCGUGUGCGAUGAAGGCCUUCGGGUUGUAAAGCACUUUUGGCAGGAAAGAAACGUCAUGGGUUAAUACCCCGUGAAACUGACGGUACCUGCAGAAUAAGCACCGGCUAACUACGUGCCAGCAGCCGCGGUAUACGUAGGGUGCAAGCGUUAAUCGGAAUUACUGGGCGUAAAGCGUGCGCAGGCGGUUCGGAAAGAAAGAUGUGAAUCCCAGAGCUUAACUUUGGAACUGCAUUUUUAACUACCCGGCUU